ACGAAGGGAGCUAGCGUUGUUCGGAAUUACUGGGCGUAAAGGGCGCGUAGGCGGUUCGACAAGUCAGAUGUGAAAGCCCUGGGCUCAACCCGGGAAUUGCGUUUGAUACUGUCGUGCUUGAAUUCGGGAGAGGUUGGUAGAAUUCCCAGUGUAGAGGUGAAAUUCGUAGAUAUUGGGAAGAAUACCCGUGGCGAAGGCGGCCAACUGGACCGACAUUGACGCUGAGGCGCGAAAGCGUGGGGAGCAAACAG
This 251-nucleotide ribosomal RNA is filed under the name uncultured prokaryote. RNAcentral's name for it is "partial 16S rRNA". It matches the Rfam family "Bacterial small subunit ribosomal RNA", at positions 525 to 775 of the family's 1533-position model. The record is from RNAcentral.